AUACGUAGGGUGCAAGCGUUAAUCGGAAUUACUGGGCGUAAAGCGUGCGCAGGCGGGUUUGUAAGACAGAGGUGAAAUCCCCGGGCUCCACCUGGGAAAUGCCUUUGUGACUGGAAGGCUAGAGGACGGCAGAGGGGGAUGGAAUUUCGCGUGUAGCAGUGAAAUGCGUAGAUAUGCGGAGGAACACCGAUGGCGAAGGCAAUCCCCUGGGCCUGUACUGACGCUCAUGCACGAAAGCGUGGGGAGCAAACAGGAUUAGAUACCCUGGUAGUCCACGCCCUAAACGAUGUCAACUGGUUGUUGGGUCUUCAUUGACUCAGUAACGAAGCUAACGCGUGAAGUUGACCGCCUGGGGAGUACGGCCGCAAGGUUGAAACUCAAAUGAAUUGACGGGG
RNAcentral lists this ribosomal RNA (395 nucleotides) under uncultured bacterium. Its description in RNAcentral is "partial 16S ribosomal RNA". It matches the Rfam family "Bacterial small subunit ribosomal RNA", at positions 523 to 918 of the family's 1533-position model. The record is from RNAcentral.